UCCUGUAAAAAAAAUAAGAGAAAGCAUCAAUUUCUAAAGAAUAAAAAUGAAUUAAUCUACAAAUUGAUGCUUCUAUUGAUAUAUUUGUGGUACUUAUCACCUUUUCGAUUUGAGACUUCAUACCAAAAAUCAGAGAGAAUGGAAUACUAAGAUUGAAGCCCUUGAAGAUUGAUCUCAGUGAUUGACGAUGCCUCUCCCCUAGGCUUGAAAGAACUUCGGUGCCCAAAUGAAGAAGCACCUAUGGUAGUGGCUCAAGAACCUACCUUAGACCUAGACUAGGGGGCACGUGGUUGAGAGUCUCGACUGUCUCUAUUUAUGCCCCCAUCCUCCCUAUCGAAAGGCAUUGCAAAGAACAAGUCCAAAAAAAGGAAAGAAGAAAGACAAACUGAUACUAUGAAAGGGACAAGAGAACCAAUCGAAAAGUGAGAUUCUGGACAGGAUGAGCUCCAAAAGAAUUAGAGUACUCGCCAGAGCCGAAGAGAAAGGUGGAACACAUGGUUGUAGGAAGGGAGCGUAGAGAGGAACUGGCGACCAAGAAAAUAGAGAUAGUGGGGAGGGGGCAAGGCUACUUAAACUAUUCCCCAAUGGUCCCGAUCAAAGUUCCAUCCCAUC
This 612-nucleotide long non-coding RNA is filed under the name Elaeis guineensis (African oil palm). RNAcentral describes it as "long non-coding RNA (EGUI_LNC020371)". Lineage: Eukaryota; Viridiplantae; Streptophyta; Magnoliopsida; Arecales; Arecaceae. The record is from RNAcentral.